Molecule: long non-coding RNA, 35017 nt
Filed under: Setaria italica (foxtail millet)
Lineage: Eukaryota; Viridiplantae; Streptophyta; Magnoliopsida; Poales; Poaceae
Description: long non-coding RNA (SITA_LNC001815)
Source: RNAcentral
UGCUUCAUCUCUCAGAUUAUCUGACGCUUCAUGGUUUCUCCCUGUUCAUGUUCGGUGGUUGGAGACGUUAUUCAAAUUAUCAGCUGCUAUGCACUUUGUCACGUCAGGGGCUCAGGGCACUGGUUCAGUAAUCAUCUCUGAUGCCUGAGUUUCCUUGAGUUUUAUUGUUUAUUGAUAUAUUAAAUCUAAACAAGUUUAAGUACAAAGAGGCAAAAAACACACAGAAGGAAAAAAGUAAAGUGAAAUAACUGGAACUAAUCUUACCCAGUUGCUCAUGUCUGUGGAAUAACUGUGUUUUGCGGUUUUGCCCUAUGUAUGCACAUGGCAUUUUCAUAGCUGAAUUGUCCAUGUACACACAUGGCAUUUUCAUAGCUGAAUUGUUAGCCUCCACUCCGGCCAAAUGCUGGAGCAAUAUGAUUGAAAUCUGAUCAUCUAAUCGCCAAAUGCUCCAGGCCAUUAGGUUGAUCGCUUCCAUGUUAAAGAACUGCUGCAACACUCGAAAAUGAUCUCCCAUGGGGAAUUUGACUUCCCAACAGGCAACAGCUGCCAGCUCUCUGUUAGAACUUGAUCGCAGAGGACGCAGUUAUAAGUUGGUAGACAAGCUGCAUGACCUGCUAGGACUUUAUAAUCUUUGACAAUCAGUAGAUUGGGUUACCCCAGAGGUAUGUCCAUACUUGCUCCUCUGUGGGAUUGUACAUUGUCCAGGAUUGUGGCCAUCUGAUUGUACUGACUGCAAAUCUGUUGCAUCAGCAGCAUAUGCUAAUGUUCAGCAAUAGAGCAGAUUAGCUGAAGGACCUGCCUGCCCAUAUGUUCCAAGGUAAUAUGCUUUCGGAAAGAUCCCGGCCGUCGCAUCGGCGAUCGUUGUCGGUGGAGGAUUGCAGGUUAAAGCGAGGAUGGUGAUCUUCCUGGAUGAGGUUUCUCCGAGGGUAGGCCGUCGUCGUCGCAGGUUCAGAGCCUGACGCCAACGCGGAAUUCGGCGGCAUCCAAUUGCCGGAAUCCCCCGUGCUCGCUGAGAAUACCGUCCAACACUCCGGUCUCCGCCGUCGUCGUCGCCGAGCCCAGGCCGUCUUUUCGGAGGCGCUGUCCCGGUGCCCCUCGCCGGAAUUUGUACUUACCAAUUUGCUUGUUCAGAUCGCCGGGUGGUCUGCGGCAGCGUUUAUCUCCUUUCUCAAUCAUGCUGCAGUGUAGCCACAUUAACUCUGUACUUUGCUGUACGUGUCCGAAUUCGCUCCAUGCAAUCUGUUUAUUCUCUUUUUUUCGUAUUUUCUUUCACAUUGCUUCAUCUUUUUCAGGAGCCGUCGCAAUAGAUGGGCUAACCAAAUCAGCUAUUCCAAGUUGGUCGCCAUAUAUGGUACACAGCCUUUCGAGCCCGAACAGCAGCAUUAGAAGACAGAAGAUUGGAAAUUGGAUUCAGGCCGAAAUUCAUUAUGCUAUCUUUUAUCCGCCUAUGGGUGUUUUGUUUCAACGGAAAGUUCAGGUAAGUUGGUGAUCUCUGCACUCUGUUGUUCCUUAAAGAAAUGACACUUAUGCAGUGGAGAUAUCCCAUGCUAGAACCAUAAAAACAAUCUUUCGAGGACUGCCUAAAGGCUCGGAUUAUUGGUGUUGCAACGGCACGAGAUUGAAUCUGCAUAACUACUUCUACUUGGACCAGAUGGCCCAUUGAUCGGUUCAAGUAGCAGCCGAAAAUCAAUGGACGGUACCAAUGCCGAUGAUGAUAAUAAUGUGCUUUCCCCCUUUUUUUUCUCUGCCUUUUUUGGGCGGGUUAUGAUAAUGAUUUCUAUACCUCAUGUGUUCGUCUAUUAAUCAUCCAGGUGGCUACUAGCUCAGGUCAGAGAAAGGCUUGUCCAUUAAGAACUUGUUCUGUUGUUUUUUCCUUCCGAAAAUUACAGCACAAUCUUCAUUCUUACUCUACGAAAAACAAUUGAUUUUGUAAUAAUUUUUGCAGUGACGAAAUGCGGUAUCUUGAAUGCAUGCUACAUAAGUGGAGAUGCCAUUUUGUGCUGCUUUCAGGAGAGGGCCAUCAUAAGAAUUUAAAAGGCCAAAGAGCCAUCAGAAAAUAUGUGCACACCACACUGUCAGCUAGCUAUAUCUUUGCUAUCCCAUUGUGGUUGUCAGGCCAUACUAUCAUUUUCCAUCGCCUGUUUUUAGUAUCAGAAAAUUAUUUUUCGGGUCGCUGCUUCGCAUUUCUGAUUUACCAAAUUUAAGCCUUGCAGCUAAAUAUUGGUGUACCCAAUCACAUACCAAAAGGUGUCGUCAUGUAUAUCUCCCAUCUGUGACUAACAAUACGAUUCUCGUUCUCCCUUUUAUUUUCAUUUUGAAAAACACAGUAAACCAUGCUCCCUCCAUCCCAAAUCGUAGGUCGUUUUGACUUUUUCAAGUGCAUAGUUUUUACUAUACACCUAAGUAUAGUGUAUGUCUAGAUGCAUACAGACAUCUAUGAACCUAGAAAAAACAAAACGAUCUACAAUUGAAACGGAGGGAGUAGUUCAUUACCGAUUUCACGAGCAUGGCAACUUAAUCACAGGGGCGGAUCUAGGGCCCGGGCUGCCCGAGCUGCAGCCCGGGGCGAGCCCAUGUAGUCCCUUUAACAUAUGUGGUAUUUAGCCUAAUAAAAGGAGGUUUAUGAGGCAAGAUUAGACUGUUUUGGUGCUGUUUCAGCAACUUAACCCGGGGUGCAGCUGAACUUUUUUUUAUUUUUAACCCUUUUUUUAUUUAUUUUUAAAAAUAACCUCACCCGGACUUUAUUUGCGCGGCGUAACCCUUUUGGCCGCGCCAGACCGCCUGGCGCGGCAGGAACAUGCUGCCGCGCCGCAUGCACUGGCGCGGCGGCCCCUGCCACGCUGGCGCGGCGAGUCGCGGCGCCAGGUGGGCGCUGACGUGGGCGGGCGCUUGCCGCGCCAGCCCCCUGGCGUGGCAGGGCCAGCACUAAUUCCACGCGUCGGCUCCCUUCCUCCUCCCUCCCUCCUUUCUUCCUCCUCCAGACUCCCGAGCCCGAGCUCCUUGCGCUGCCCCCCGCCGCCCCACCCCCAAAUCCACCCAAAAUCCGGCGUUUUCGGUGGGGGAAAGUAGUGGAAAUCGAUCCCUGCUUCGUGUGGAAGUUAUUCCCCUACUUAUUCUCGUGUUUUACCGUUGCAUUUGGUAGAUCAGAGGAUGUUUAGGUGACUUAGGGUUAGGUUAGUGAUUUGAAUUUUGAAUGAAAUGCAAUGGUGUUUUGUGUUAGAUGAUACGUAGUUCAUACGCAAUUGAGUCUCUGCCCGCGAUAUUGACGUGUAGAACUUGUUGAUUUAGGUAUAUAUUCAUUGAAUCGUAUAGUGCAAUGUAUAUGUGUAUUUUUUGUUUGCAAUUUGUCCAAUAUAUGUAAUGUGUGUAGUUGAUAUGUCGAAUAUGUGCAAUGUGUAGUGUAUAUGACAUGGUGAAAUAUUUAUAUUUUGUAGAUGGAUCGUUUAGUUCGAUUUUUUGAUGGUGGUGUUGUGAAACAAAAUGGGGAGUUAGAGAAUAUGAAUGAGUCAAUUGAAUUCUUCGAUGGUCCUCCAAGUUUUAGUGAUUUAGUUGACCGUGUAAUGAGGAAGUAUGGAUGUAGAGUGGAUGAGAUCAGUUUGAGAGGUCGUUUUGAUUGUGGGAAAGCUAGAGCUCAUUAUGUUCUCAUGAAGUUAGCAUCCGAUGCGAAUUGGAAGCACUAUAAGGAUGUAGUGCACGAAGCUAAUGUUGCAUAUUUGGAGGUUAUAGUCGAAAUUGUUCGUAUGCCUGGCCCAAAUGUUGUCAUGAGUGAGGAAGUGGCGGUAGUGAACCAUAAUGGUACCCAGGAGUCAGAAAUGUUGCAUCACGUGUUAGGUGAAACAGAACGUGAUUUUGACUUGGCUAUUGCCAAUGAUGAUUUUCCCAAUAACAUUUUGAGAGGGAUGAAGCUAACCCCANNNNNNNNNNNNNNNNNNNNNNNNNNNNNNNNNNNNNNNNNNNNNNNNNNNNNNNNNNNNNNNNNNNNNNNNNNNNNNNNNNNNNNNNNNNNNNNNNNNNNNNNNNNNNNNNNNNNNNNNNNNNNNNNNNNNNNNNNNNNNNNNNNNNNNNNNNNNNNNNNNNNNNNNNNNNNNNNNNNNNNNNNNNNNNNNNNNNNNNNNNNNNNNNNNNNNNNNNNNNNNNNNNNNNNNNNNNNNNNNNNNNNNNNNNNNNNNNNNNNNNNNNNNNNNNNNNNNNNNNNNNNNNNNNNNNNNNNNNNNNNNNNNNNNNNNNNNNNNNNNNNNNNNNNNNNNNNNNNNNNNNNNNNNNNNNNNNNNNNNNNNNNNNNNNNNNNNNNNNNNNNNNNNNNNNNNNNNNNNNNNNNNNNNNNNNNNNNNNNNNNNNNNNNNNNNNNNNNNNNNNNNNNNNNNNCAUCAGUUAUUAACAAUGGUUGCUAAUUUUUGCUGAUGAAUGCAUACCUUAGGAUGAGAAUUGCAAGAUUUUCGUAUGAAAUGUUCUUAUAAAUUGAGGAUGGGCCUAUCGUUACUAUUCGCUUGUGUACAGUGUAAACAAUUUCAUACUGCAAAUGUCAUUUGUAUCAUAUUUGUGUUACUUACCACUUUAGUAGCCCGUUAUUCACAAUUGGAUUGACUUCUCAUUUUUUAAUAAUCUUAUAAUGUUUUGCAGAAUUUGACACCACUCAGGGCUAGGGUGCACUCACCACUUAGGUGGGAUGAGUGGUACGCCCAGUACCUGCAGAGAGCAGGUUUCUUGGAUCUCGCUGUUUAGGUUGUCGGGGGUCUGCCUCCAAUGGACGGACUGCUAUUGACCGCUAUGGUCGACAGGUGGCGUCCGGAGACUCACACGUUCCACCUGCCCUUCGGAGAAAUGACCAUCACAAUGUAGGAUGUGGCUAUGAUACUCGGCCUUCCACUGGAUGGGCAGCCAGUGACGGGUAUUAUACAGAAUGAGAAUUGGCGUGAUAUGGUUGAGAUGCAUAUUGGGAUUAGGCCGCCAGAGCCAGAGGGCGGAGACAGCUCGAAGAAGACGUCCGGUGUCAGCUCGGCAUGGUUGAGGGAGCACUUCGAUGUGUGUCCUCCAGGAGCAAAUGACGAGGUCGUGCAGCGCUAUGCUCGAGUGUGGCUAUGGCACUUUGUCAGUACAUUCCUCCUUCCAGAUGCAGCUGGGAACACAGUAUCGUGGAUGGUUCUCCCCAUUUUAGGUCAGGUUUGGGAAAACAUAGCCGUUUACAGUUGGGGCUCAGCGGCUCUUGCCUGGCUGUACAGACAGCUAUGUGAGGCUUGCAGGCGCACAGCGAGGGAUUCCAAUGUUGGCGGUUGCACUUAUAUGCUGCAGAUAUGGAUUUGGGAGCGAAUGCCCGUGGGUCGACCUUCCUGUCUCCGUGUCGAUGUAAGUCACUACGGCUAAAUUCCUUUUUCUACUUUAAUGUUCGGAAAAACUAUUGUAUCAUGUGACCAAUUGGACUUACUUGCAAUUUCAGCCAUGGCAUCGAGACGAUGCUCGUCCCACGUUCUAUCAUGUGUGGAAGCAUGUGCGGCCCGUUCGUGGCAAUCCGGAUAGGCGCUACAGGGCCUACACAAACGAGUUUGAUGUUCUCACGCAGCACCAGGUAAUUUGCUCACCAUAGUUUUUAAAGCUAACUUCCGUAUAAUGAUAGAUGAAAUAAGUAUUGCGUGAAAAUUUUUGCAGGUUGAAUGGAAACCGUACGACCGUGACCAGCUUAGCCAUAUCGUAUUUUCACCGACGUGCUACAGAGACAGAGAGCUGUGGAGGUGCACGACGCCACUGAUAUUGUACUACGUGGUAGAGUUUCAUAUGCCGCAUAGGGUGAUGCGGCAGUUUGGGAGGAUGCAACCGUGCCCUCUUUUGGAAUUAUCGACUUCGCAGCAGCUGCAUAGGUACGCAGGAUUAAAUAACUGUUGGAGGCUAUUCAAUUAAUGCACUUAACAUGUUAUACUAAUACUUCACUAAUUUCUGAUGCAGUAUCGACCGCAGAAAGCGGUACAAGGAGAAUGAUUGGAGGUUGAAGCAUGCUCAGUACCUCCUCAUGUGGCAGAAUAAGCAAGGAUGCGAUUCUGACGGUGGACCGUACUGGCGACCAAACAAUGAGUACAUAAGAUGGUACUGUACUUUGACGAGAACUAAAGUGAAACCAUCUUGGACUAAUGUGCCCAUUGAGGAUGCACCGUCUGAAUCAGACGCCGACAUAGCUGACGCGUACGACACGGUGACACGCUAUGGGACACAGCCUGAGCGUGCACCUCUCCACGACUACAUGGUAAGAUUUCGGUUUGUAAUUAUAGUAUCGUCACAUUGAUCACUCAUGGAAUGAAAACUCCUGCGUACAGGGACAGCAGCUUGCAAGGCUCUCAAACGAGGCGGGCGUGAUUAUGGAGCACGCCGUCCGAGAAGGUGAUGGUCUGCUUCGUCAGUUUGCAGAGGUAGAAGCCCAAACUAAUUUCCACUUAUACUCGUACUACCUUUGUAACCAUCAAUAUCAUAGUCGUGAAUAUAUGCUACUUACAUGUGGCAGAGGGUUCGGAAAAGCUGCAGGCGAAUGGCCAUGAGUAUGAACUGCAUGACGUCCUCAGAUGUGCACCACGGGGGCAAUGGCCAGAGUACUUCUUCGGGAUCACGUCGGACUCCAUUGGCGACUACCCCCAGGGCUGCAACACCGUCCACUGCUGCAGGUCCUAGCAGGAGAUCACGAGGCAAGGAACCCGCAUCCCCUCAGGAAAGCGAGGACUCUGAACAUGAGCAGUCUGAGGAUGACGACCCUACAUAUGGUGAGGAACUGGAGAUUUCUCACGAUGCUCCACCUGUGACUCAAACGCAGGGAGAGUCCAGCCAGGUACAUUCACAAGUUUCUCCAAAUUCAAUUAUAGAUUUUAAUGUUCACUCCCGAAGUGUCAUACAAAUUUUAUGCUUUGUGCCCAAUUAUUCCAUAGGAACCUGCACCUUGUACCCGGAUGCCACGCCGGCAGCGUCGUUCCCGGGACCACACCGACGUUGGCAGCGCCAAUGUGCUGCCCACGCAUCCAAGGAGGGAGCGUCGCCCAAGAGAUCCUUUUAGCCCUCCGGAUGAGCGGCGGUCACGACACUGAACCUAGCAUGUCUCAAGACUUUUGGAACCAUCACGUCUGUAAAAGACUAAGUUGGUUGUUAGGUUUAUUCAUGUCACGUUUGUAAAAGACUAAGUUGGAUGUUAGGUUUUUUUCUGUCCGUACAAUGUUAUAUGUUUACUCCAUGACAUACUUGUGUUUCGUGUAUUUUUUCGUAAAUGUUCAGAACAAAAAUACGUUUCGGAUUGUGCAGCGCGCUCCUAAUGCCCCCCCCCGGGCCGAAACCUACUGAAAAUUUACUAAAAUUGGCGCGGCAGCGCACUUCUGCCGCGCCAGGCCGCCUGGCGCGGCAAGGCCGGCCACCCCCCGGCGAAACCUACUGGAAUUGUAUUUAACUUGGCGCGGCAGCGCACUCCUGCCGCGCCAGGCCGCGGCAAGGCCCUCCCCCGGCUGGAAACCUACUGAAAGUUUGUUGCACUUGGCACGGCAGCGCUCUCCUGACGCGCCAGGAGGAGUGGCGCGGCAACCUGAAAAUUUGUCUCGAUUUGCGCGGCAAACCGUGUCCAUUUAGAGUCUAAAAUUUGUCCCACAAAGAGUGACUUUUCAAUUAAACCUUAUCUAAUUAAAGUAACAUUCACGCAUUGACGCACAACGCAUGCACGCCAGUCUCGCGCAGUCGCGUCGCGCCUACAGAACCGGGCCACUGCCCUCUGCUCUUCCUUCCUGCAACUUGACCGCAAAUCUACUCGAUGGUGCUUCCUUCAUACGAGAACGCGAAGCGUCCCGCCGCCCGCCGCCCCAUCACCCGCUCUACCAGCGCUAUGCCUUCCUCCUCCUCCACCACCCACUCCUCCUCGUCCUCCAUCGAAAUCAUCGAUCCCAUCGAAGCUACUACUAUUUCUCCUUCACACUCUAGCGCUGACUACUAGCUCGGAGAGGAAACUUUGAUGCAUUUGGACAUAGUUCUCUCGGAAAUGAAAAUAGUUUUUGACAACUAAUUGUAGUUCUCAGAAUAAACAUAAACAUAGUUUUCUCAUAAAAGAACAUAGUUUUCACAACUAAAGAGAAACAUGAUCCAGCUACAUCAACGCGUUCAUCUAGUCCGAGUCACCUUCAUAUAGUAACUCGUCAUCAUUAUCAUCUCCGGCAACAACAACUCCCUUCCCUUUCUUAUCGACAUUAACCUUACCAACAGGUAAAUCGGCAACAAGAGCCUUCAUCGUCUCUAUCUGUGCCUCUUCCGCUUUUUGUUGUAACUCUUCCAUUUCAAUCCUUCUCUUUCUUGCCCUAACUUGCUGCAAAUAUUCUUCCCAUGAACCCUUAGGGUAUUUCGCAUUCGGAUCAACCACAUAACCUAAGCGAUCUCUUUCCUCCCUCAACCUUUGUUUCUCCAACUCCCUCUCCUCCUGCAACUUCCUCCUAUUUUCUCUCUUCUCAUUUUCAGUUAGAGGUCGUGGAUACUUGGAUCUAUUUUGCCUCCAAUACUUAAUAAUAGUUUCCCUUGCAUAAAGUCCUUCAGGUUCCACUCCAGUCUCAUGCACCAUAUCUUGAUAUAUUUUCCCCCAAAGCAAGUCGUCGUCAGGAAUAGGCACAUCAUACUCCUUCCUAAUCUUUUCUUUAAUUUCUUGUUGUUUUCUUGACUUCCAUGGUUCCGAUGUAUUUCCCAACUUUAAUAACAAAUCAUAUCGACCACAAAAAUCUUCCCAAUCACAUGUCCUUCCCUCCUGCAACAACAAUUCAAUAUUCUUACAAAUUUGAAACAAGUUCCAACCUUCAUAACACAUAAGAGACGAGUAUUACUAACCCAGUAAUCGCCAUGUGCAUUUCCGGAGAACGAACCAUAUCCAAGUUCAGAAGGCACCACACCUUCUGUUGCCAAUAUACCACACUUGCAUCUAUCACUAGGAGAGGACACACAUGGCCACGGUGCCUUUCCACUUUCGAACUCCCGCACUUGCUCCUCCGUUGGCCAUAUUGCCAUUGGGCCGUAUAUAUACUCAUUGAAAUCACACAACAGCCACCUAUCCUACAAAAAAACCGUGACGUGAACUACUCUUACGUAAAGUAACUACAAAACGCUGCUCCAACUUCCAAGCAAUAACAUCAAGUAAAAGUACGAACAAUAUACUGCAAAAUUAUAACUGCUAGCUAAACGACAUACUAAUAUUCUCGUAAUAUACUUACAUGAGUCUUUAGGGAGCAUCGAAAGAAUGGAGUAAACUUAGGUGGAUCCCCUAAGUAGGACGCAUAAGCUUAGCAGGAACACCACACUUGCACAUGGGAGGAUCCCUCACACGUCUACAAGCAGCCUCCUGCUUCUCCUCCUCGGUCAUCCUAGGUGGGUUUGGUGGAGGAGGAAACCAACGCCUAAACUGAUGGUAUGGUUUAAGCUCUGUGCUAUGAUAUGGGAAUAGGUGGAUCCUAGGAUCAUAUUUGUCGGGUCCAUCGAUCCACUGAAAGAAAUCACAAGGUGCGACAGGCAUUGGAUCAAAAGUCCACUUGCAUACAUAGAAGGCUCUUCCGGCUGUCUUUGGAUGCAUUGAUUGUUUCACCUCUGCUUGCGCGCCACAUCUACAAAGAGGUACCGGCAGGGCAGGAGGUACGGGACCAGCACCAUUGGACUCGCCCACAUAACGCACAUACCACCUACGCCGCUUGUAUUCACAACCAAACGACGUCAUCUCACCUGGACAUCAAGUGCAACAAAUUUAAUACACAAAUAAACUUUACACACGUAAUCCAUACGAGCUAUAUACAUCAUUUUGAUAAAAUGUAAACAUUCGAUCUACAAAAUACAAACACUGAAACAUAUCAACUAUAGCAACUAUAUUAAGGAACAAAAAUAUGAGACUAAUUAAUUGAAGAUAUAAAAAAUACAUGUCAUAUAAACCACACAAUUGGAUGAAUAUAUACCUAAAUCGAAGCAUUCAACAAGUUUUACACGUCAAUAUCGCGGGCAGAGACUCAAUUGCGUAUGAACUACGUAUUAUCUAACACAAAACACCAUUGCAUUUCAUUCAAAAUUGAAAUCACCAACCUAACCCUAAGUCACCUAAACAUCCUCCGAUCUACCAAAUGCAACGGUAAAACACGAGAAAAAGUAGGGGAAUACCUUCCACACGAAGCAGGGAUCGAUUUCCACUACUUUUCCCCACCCAAAUCGCUGGAUUUUGGGUGGAUUUGGGGGUGGGGCGGCGGGGGGCCGGCACAACAAGCUAAGGGCGCCGGUGUGUCUGGAGGAGGAAGAAAGGAGGAAGGGAGGAGGAAGGGAGCCGGCGCGUGGAAUUAGUGCAGGCCCUGCCGCGCCAGGCGGGCUGGCGCGGCGAGCGCCCGCCCACGUCAGCGCCCACCUGGCGUCGCGACUCGCCGCGCCAGCGUGGCAGGGACCGCCGCGCCAGUGCAUGCGGCGCGGCAGCAUGUUCCUGCCGCGCCAGGCGGUCUGGCGCGGCCAAAAGGGUUACGCCGCGCAAAUAAAGUCCGGGUGAGGUUAUUUUUAAAAAUAAAAAAAAAAGUUAAAAAUAAAAAAAAAAGUCCGUUUUGGAUCCGCCCCUGCUUAAUCAUGACCUACUUUCUUCUCUCUUUUUUUCAUGUUUAUACUUUUUAUAUGGAUUAUAUGACAUUGAUAAAGACGACCAAUCAUUUUCGUUCACAUGUGAAGGAUAUGGGAACAAUAUUUAAGAGAACGAUUGUUGGAUACCAUACAUUUUUCAGUUCUUGUCGAAGAUACAAUAGACUAUGGAUUCGAGCGAUGGUCGUUGUCGAGCAACAAUAAUGGAGUUUUGAUUUUUGUUUCCCCUUCACCUUCACCUUGGUUGGCUUCCAGAGGUGAAGGGUGUUUUCAUAGUACGCCUAGACAAAGCCAACCGUUGGUAUGCAGCCCAAUUGGCACACUACGCCUGCGUUCGUGUCAUGACCAACUCAAAUAUUCCUCUAAUAUUUUAAAGAUGAUUACUAUUUAUUUGCCACAUCAUAUUUGGGCAAAAAAACUAUCAGAUUUGUGUCAAUUUGACAUGCGUCAAGGUUCAUUUAUUAUUAUUGGGUUGUUAAUGCAAAAUCUGCAUGAUCUGGUUAAAUCAUUUGAAUUUAUUUUUUCAGUUAAGAAGAGUAGAAGACAUGUUCCAUACAGAAAAUUGUGUGGAUAUUUUUUUUUCCCUCGAGAACUAGGACAGAUGGUUGGAUCUGGACCAUUGGAUUGGAUUUCUCAAUCCAAAGGUUAAAAUAAGAUGAAUGAUUUGGAGACUGUGAAUGGUUUGACAGAUAUGUACGUACAUGGGUCGAACAAUUGUUAGUCUAACAUGUCAUUUUCGGGCAAAAAGAUUUCUUCAACCCAACGGUUACAAAAAAAGGUGAAUGAUUGAGAUUGAGAAUGGGUUGACAGGUAUGUAAACGGGUCCGACAACUGCUGGGAGCCUGGGAAUAUCAGUUUAACACGUCAUUUUUGGGCAAUGGGCAAAAGUCUGUCCGAUUGUAAUGUUCCAACCCUAGGAGAAAAAAAAAUACUCUGUGUAGAUAAAAUCAAGUGUUCUAGAAAAUGACACCCUUUUUUUUUCUCGUUUGUUAUUUCAUCCACUCUUCUUCUGUGGUCAAUGCAACAGUUGGAAAACUAACUGUAGGAUCGAAAAUCAUGCUGAUGAUAAUAGACAGUUUUCUUAAUAUCAGUAUAGCUCCCUAGUUAACAUUAGUACAGCUCCCCAGCUAGUUAAUACUUUGGACUACACCUCUUUGGCAGGAUGGUGGAGGGUGUAAGCAUAGAAACUCCUCUCAUCUAGGCUUAAAUUAUUGCGCCGACGAUGAUAGAUGCACAUGCAUCGAUCGGAGGAGGCCGUUCUAUGGCGCCACCGCUUCCUUGAGACGCUCCGCCCGGUCGUCGACUUCUGGUGCUUCAAGUUUGCCUUGUAAUCGAUGCUGUAAAUUUUUCACCCUCUCCUUAAAAACUGCUUCAGGCUAUGGCCGGCAUCAUGUGGUAAUAUAAUUCAGAUGAGGACUCUUAAUUCGUCCCCCGUGUUAACGUUAAAAAGUUGCACAUGCAUUUUCAGCUGCAAUGUCUAUAGGAUAACAGGUGUGCGAGCGUCAUCCCACACUUGUGAUAAAAAGCACGAGCAUAUUAUAUUGUUCACGAUCUUCUUGGAGGUAGCAUGAUGAAGCAUCGAAGAAAAACAGAAUAAUUAAGGACCAAUAAUUCUUCAUUUGAUGAGAACCAUGCCAAAGAUAACCGAUAGAUUUUUUUUGAGUCCAACCACUCCCCUAGGCUAAACUAAUCUAAUCGCAAUAAAAAUCUUAUUCGGGCAGGCAGGCAGGCAAUGCGAGAAGACGCCGCAGCAUACACACACGCACACGCACACACACAUACACAACCUAGAAUCUUUGAUCGAUCGGAUCGAGCUGCAUCUACGUGCAUUUCAUGUUGCGGCGCCGACGGCGGCGGCCUUGAGGGAUUCGACCUGGCUCUUGCCGCGCGGCCCCUUGCGGCGGAUGUAGAGGCGGUACUCGUCGAAGGUCAUGUUCUUGUAGAGCGAGGGGCGGUCCGGCGAGACGAGCUCCGGCAUGGGCGACAGCGGGAGGUCGCUCCGCGGGUUGUAGAAGAGCGCCACCGAGAGCCUCUCGUCGGCGGCGUUCACCAUCACGCGGUGCUCCACGCUCCUGUACGUCGCGUUCGUCAACACCUACAUACACUUACAAGUACACAAUCAGGCGAUCAUUAUGAUUUAUAUGUAGUAUAAAAUAACCUUCUUGACACAGUUGAGUGGGCCAGCAUGAAAGCUGGGGAUCUUAUCCUAAUGUACACCUGGACUGGCCGGGACGAGGCCAACUAAUAAGAGGAUGGCCUAUCCAAACUUAGGUCCCGGGCCGGGAUACGCUCGCCGAACCAAAUCAGACGUACGGGUCCAUCGUCAUCUAUCGGUUUCAGAGGGCCCGUCGACGGAGCAGCAAGGCGAAGCACAACACGCCAUUAAAGUGCUGCCUGAUGAUGGAUUGAUUGAUGGUGGGCACGCACGCCCGUGCAUUUUCAGACAGCGCGCGCACAGCGCCAUAAAGGCGCGAAUCAGAUUUUGUAGGGCGGGCCCUUCUGUCAGCCAGCUGACACGGCCUGCAGGGAAAAGGAGGCAGUUGGGCCCGGCUGUGGAAAACGUGCUGUUUGUUUCCUCCGACUUCCCCGCGAGGAGGAACAAGGACCGUGCCGGAUCCGGGGGGGUGUCCCGGCCGGCCGGUGGUCACCGCUCUUCAUGGCUCAGCCUGGCCUUGCCGACUGGGCGGCCGGCCGGAGAUCGAUGACUGGCUGGCCAGCACACGACACUGCACGGCGCCGGGACCAGCCAUGCAUCGCCCAGCAGUGGCUACGCCGCACGUGAUCCGCGGGUUGUGACAUGACUCAACAGCCUGCCACCGGUCACCGCGCAGCUCUUGAUCGGUCUCUAGCGCGCUGGCACUGGCAGCAAAGAUUUGGGGUGCUUGGAAGACCGGUGCUAAACUUUAACACCUGUCACAUCGAAUAUUUGAUACUAAUUAUGAGUAUUAAAUAUAGUCUAAUUAUAAAACUAAUUAUGAGUACUAACCAUUUGCUAAUGAUGGAUUAUUUAGUCUUAAUACAUUCGUCUCGCGAAUUAGACUCCAUCUGUGCAAUUAGUUUUAUAAUUACCUCAUGUUUAGUCCUUCUAAUUAACAUCUGAAUAUUCGAUGUGACCUUACUAAAAUUUAGCACCUCGUAUCCAAACAGUCCUUUUAUUCCAACACCAACAUGUGACGAGCGUAUCCCAUUGGUUGGUUUCCGCGUCUAACACUAGGAGAAACCACUUAUGUUAUGUAAUCGUAUGGGAAUCAUAUCUGUGUACGGGUAUUGAGCACACGGAUUACCUCCUCAUAUUCCAAAUAUAUAUAAAAAAAAGGCUUGGCUACAUGCGUUUAAGUAGGACUAAACAAAAACAUGAAUACGUACUAUGCCAGCUUGGCUUAUUUCUACGUAGGACUGAGGCGGAUUUACACGUGAAAUGGAAUCACUCGGUUUUUAACAAGUUUUCAAGAAAGCAAGAGCCCACCAGUGACCAAACGCGCACGUUUCAGUUUGGGCAAGCACGGUCACCGACCGAUCUGCUUUUGCAAGCAGGGGAUUCGGGCGGUGGAGGAGCUGUUAGCUGUGUGCUCCCCAACCAACGGAUGGAGAUGGUCCAGCACUCCACACCCCUGUCGGGCCAAUCUGGCAUCGUCACCCCGGCCGCACUAACACCAUCCCGGCCAUGCAGACUAGUCGCCGGUGCUGACGUGUGUGAGCGGAGCAGGGGGACCGGUCGGCGACGAGAUCGCAUUGAUGGCGCCCCGCCCCCGGCGUUUGCAUAUGCCCCCUAUGGUUAGCAUGCAUGAUCCCGCUGCACGUGGGCGGAUGCCUGUUUUGGGAACUCCUGUGGCCUGGGUGCAGGCCCACCGCCACUGGUAGGUGCACUAUCACCUCGUGAUGUGCGCGGUCUGAAUUUUCGCAGAUGGGAAUCUUUAUUAUUUUUUUUUCUCCGGUCAUUUUCUCUUUCUCAAAGGCUCAAAGCAAUUGUGGAGUGGCUGGAGUAUGUUGUUUUUCUCUGAUGAUUUUAUUUUUAAAAAAAGAAUGAAGAGUCCUUUUCCAACUCCAAUAAUUACGAAAAGCAGCAUGGGCUACCAUAGCAAGCAAUGCAAAAUGAUAUGAAUGCUUCUAGUGCCCCCAAAAAGGUGAUAUGAGAUGAGAUGAGGCUCGUGCGUACGAUCGGAUACUGAUGGGGGGGGGGGGGGNNNNNNNNNNNNNNNNNNNNNNNNNNNNNNNNNNNNNNNNNNNNNNNNNNNNNNNNNNNNNNNNNNNNNNNNNNNNNNNNNNNNNNNNNNNNNNNNNNNNGAGGUGCACGGCAUGCGUUUAGUAGGCAACGAAUAAGAGUAUGAUCAGAGUGAAAAGUUCGGGUGAGGACAAAGAAGCAAAAUGCAUAGUAUCUCUAAUCUUGAGGUUGUUGUGUCAACAUAGAUUUUGAUCAAACUCUCGAGCUGCAGUACCUUAUUAUACUCCAAAGUAAGGUGACAUAGAGGGUGUAUGGUUCCCACCUGUCCAUAAUAGCACCUGUCACAUAGAAGGUUUAGAUACUUAUUAGAAGUAUUAAACAUAGACUAUUUACAAAACCCAUUGAGCAAAUGGAGGCAAGGGGGCAAGACGAAUCUAUUAAGCCUAAUUAGUCCAUGAUUUGACAAUGUGCUGCCACAGUAACCAUUUGCUAAUGAUGGAUUAAUUUGGGGGGGGGGGGGGGCGGCGCGGGUUCAACCGAUUACUCAAUAAAAUCAUUGAAUGGUCAGCGCGCAUGAUUAAUUCAGAUUAUAUUUUUGAACGUAAUUACUGCAGAUGUAUAUCGGCAUGUGUGUGUGGUUUUGCAUGCACGUCCUGACGUCCAUACAUGUACGUACCGACUUUCGUGCACGCCUAAUCUCUUUGUUCGUAUAUCAGCGAAACGCGAGAGCUGACUAUUCACGCUUUGCACAGUACCCAGUGAGUUAGAUGACUCGCGCAGCGACAAGCUCCUCGCGCAUGCACUUGCUAGUUGCUACUGCACGAGCCCAUGCUAUUCUUCAAAAUGUACAUCAGAACCUCCUCCGUUGGGGGUCCUGUUUCGAAACGUGUCUACAUCGAGGCGAGAAUGCUCUAACCACCUAAGUUCGUUUGAGUACUCGUUUGGCUAGUCUAAACUAUUAUUCCCUUCAUUUUAAAUUAUAAUCUAUUUUAGCUUUUUUUAAGAUAUAUAAUUAUUAUUAUGUAGUCUAACGUAUUAUAUAUGUAUAGUAAAAAUUAUGUAUGUUAAAAAAUCAAAACGAUGUACGAUUUGGAACGAGGAGUACACAACUAGCACGCCUAGAUAAUGACUACAUACUUAUCAUCACUUAUCUGUUAACCACCCGGCCAUAAGUAUACAAAUCCAUGCGGUGAAAAUGGAUGGCUUGGGAGGAGGCCACGGUUACUCUAAUCCAGUGGCUGGAUCGGAUCACUAUGGCAGCGAUCUGUCUAGGUCAACCAUACUACGUGUUAGCGCCAGCCGUAGCAUCGUUUUCUCUCUCGUCACGGCCUCACGGGCAGCGACGAGGUACGCCUAGCAGGAAAGAAGUGAAAAAAAAUGAGAAAAGAAGAAGCACGAGGCCGGCAAGCGGAUACUCCAAGUGUUAAAGUUUAACACCCGUCACAUCGGAUGUUUGGAUGCUAAUUAAGAGUAUUAAACAUAGGCUAAUUACAAAACUAAUUGCAUAGAUGGAGUGUAAUUCGCGAGACGAAUCUAUUAAGCCUAAUUAGUCCAUGAUUUGACAAUGUGGUGCUACAGUAACCAUUUGCUAAUGAUGGAUUAAUUAGGCUUAAUAGAUUCGUCUCGCGAAUUAGCACAGGGUUCUGCAAUUAGUUUUAUAAUUAGCUCAUAUUUAGUUCUUCUAAUUAGCAUCCGAACAUCCGAUGUGACACUGUUAAAGUUUAACACAUCGUAUCCAAACACCCCCUUACUGGUCGAUAACUAUCCUAGGACGUUGCCGUAGCACAGCGUCCAAUCGCGACGUCGACGGACAAGGACACGGGCCGUCCGUUUGUCAGAUGGAUGGGUGGAUGGUCGGAUGGAGGAUAUGGCUCUGGGAUUGACGAAACCAGUCGCUGCUUUAGUGUAAUUCGAGCACAUGUGCACCGUCACGUCUGAAUCAUCAUCGCCAUCGCCCCCUUCUCUGGCCUGCAUAUUUUCCGGUCAUCGCCUCUGUGAGAGGCCCAGGCCUGCAGGCCUCUGCUCUGCCGUGCGGUCAGGGACGGACUAGUCGUGUGGCAAGAGUCACAUGCGCCGAGCUGAGCAACAUUAACGAAUACGUGUGCCGAGUUGGUGCUCCAUGUGCAUGCGUACCUGGAUUUGAUCGCCGACGUUGACGAUGAAGGCGUCGGGCACGGGGUCGACGGUGACCCAGGCGCCGCGGCGGCGGACCUGGAGGCCCCGGACGCGGUCGUCGGCGAGGAGCACGGUCAUGCCGCCGGGGUCCGAGUGGGAGGAGAGGCCCAGCGUCAGCUCCGGCUGCGGGCACCGCGGGUAGUAGUUCACCCGCACGCACACCCCGGCGCCCUCCGCGCCGCCGAACGCCUCGUGCAGCCGCGACGGCGCCACACCCAGCCCCAGAGACAUCGCCGUCAUCAGGCGACCGCACAGCGCCGCCACCUCCCGGCUGUACUCCUCCGUCGUCCCUCUGCAGCCGUAGAUUUGAUGCAUGCUUCGCAUCAUCAGCCGGACAAAGCAUACAGUAUAGAAAAUAAAAUUUAUACUAGCCUAUCCGUAUCCGUUCAAGAUCGUUUUAACUUUUCUAUAUUUAUAAAUAUUAUUAUGCAUUUAAACGUACACUGUGUACUCCGUACACAGUUAUUAGGGCUGUACAAGUACGUGUAUAUGGGGCAUGCGUAUGCAAUCGACCUGAGUUCGGGAGGGAGGUAGGGCCACUUGUCGGGGUCGGAGAGGUGAGGCGGGCGGACGUGGAGGAAGUAGUAGUCGCCCCAGUCGAGGACGGCGCCCUUCUCCACGCCCAGCCGGCUGCCGUACCCCUCGUACGUCGCCGGCGAGUUGGCGUACCGCUGCUUCACCUCCAUGGGCUGCCGGAAGAAGCCGCGCCACACGCCGCGCGCGCGACGGAGGAGCUCCGCCGGCACGCCGUGGUUCACCGCCUGGAAGAAGCCCCAGUCGCGGCACGCCUCCGACACCGCACGCACCGUCGCCGGGUCGCCCGGCGACGACAGGUCCACCACCGGGAUACCCACCUCCGUAGCCGCCGUCGCCGCUCCAUCGUCCGCCAGCGCCGUCGCCGGGCGCUCCGCCUCAGGCUUGACGUAGCGGUCCGGGAUGGUGGCGGCGCCGCUCUCCGACAGCGACUGCACCCGCACCACCGGCUCCGGCCACCCGGCUCCCGCGCCUUCCAUGCUAUGAGACACGACGACCUCAGCUCAGCUCUAUGACCGCCGGCGCCUACCUCUGCUCACUCUCGUUGGGAUGCUUCUUCUUCUCGCCCUUGGAGUGCUGCACUUAUAGCUGUCCAGUGACGACGUACUAGAGCUUAGCUUGUGGCUGCCUACCUACCUGCCUAGCAAGAGCUCGAAGAAAGAUGAUGCAUCAUGGGACGACAAAACUAGCUGAGGCGGCGAGAUUGAUGAGCUAGCUUACUAGCGAGCUGAGGCACAUGAAUGGUGUGUGACGAGUUCUAGGAAUCAACAGGGGAUUUGCUUGCUUGAUCACAGAAGUGAUGAUGAUGAUGAUAGAGCACGUACAUAAACAAUACUCCUGGAGUGGAGAAGAUGAGCUAAGAGAAGAUGGCGAGCGAGAGGACAGGUUGCGGCUUGGAAUUGGAAGGGCCCGCGUGCGCUAUAGUGCUAUUUAUAUAUUUUGGCCGGCAGUUUAGCUGAUGCAUGAUCACCGGUCUAAACUACUGCUGCUGCUAAUUAAUCGGAUAGUAGUAAUAGUUUAUUCCGUGUAGUGCUGCUGAUGCCGCAGGCGAUGACAUAGCAAACGUGACUGAAACAUAAUUCCGUUGAGCAUGUGGUACGGUGCCACUGCUCCGCAGGUCCACCGAUGUGACGUACAGUACCCUCGUAGAGGAUGGUGCUUACGGGGUAUGUACUCGAUGGUACAGCUAGGACUAGGAGGACCCAGCAGAGCACGCCGCCUGGCCCACCAUGUGUGAUUGUACGCUUCAGCAUCACUACGUAUACAUCGUGUAGGACGGUGACACGGUCUAGCGCUCUAGCUAGGAUCACACGUGACCGUUAUUCUCUCCUUUUUUAUUGCCUCUAGCCCAUUAGUUGAAAUUAAACUCAGUAAAUUGACCACCUCCGUUCUAAAUUGUAGGUUAUUUUAACUUUUCUAGAUCAUAAAUAUUAUUAUGUAUCUAAACAUACAUUAUAUUAUAUCUAGAUGCAUAACUUAGAAAAGUUAAAACACCCUUAAAAAACGAUUCGAAACGGAGGGAGCACGUGACAAUUCAAAUGGUCGUACCUGGCCUGGUGAAGUGGUGAUCAAUUUUGUCGCGCUUUACAGGGCCUGCUACUACUUUUGUAGCGCUAGCUGGCCCAUGGACUUUUCUUUCUCAAUCAAGCCCAUGCAUGCGGUCCACGAAAUUUCUGCUAGGAAAUUGCAGCACAGAGUCAGAAGAGUCCUCCAGCCAGGACCAGGAUGUGCAGAGGGCCGGUUCCGAUGUGCAGGUUGGCAAAUUUUUACGGGAAAAUAUGCCUUACCCAUCUAGGGUCUUGUUUAGUUCCUAAUUUGGGGUGGCAAAAUUGAUAUUUUACCAUAAAUGCGCAAUUAUAGUAUUUCGUUUGUAUUUGUAAAUUAUUAUCCAAAUAUUGACUAAUUAGGCUCAAAAGAUUCAUCUCGCAAAGUACAACAAAACUGUGCAAUUAGUUUUUGAUUUCGUCUACAUUUAGUACUCCAUGCAUAUACCGCAAGUUUGAUGUGAUGGGGAAUCUUCUUUUUGCAUAGUGCUAAAGUUGGGAUUUUGGAGGAACUAAACAGGCCCUAGAGCAUCUUCUUCAACAAUCCCUGAACCUACUCAGGCAUGGCCUCCUUGCGCGCGCAGCAUCGGGAUCAUCGAAGCAGGGAAGUAAGGGAAGAGAUCGGAAACCGGGCGUGCGUCCACAAAAAGUAAAUCGAAAAUAUAAUGGUAAAAUCAAACCUCCAAAAGAAAAAAUAAAGUAACUUUGAUCUGAUCCUGAUCGAGUUGUUGAUCUGUUCCUUCUCGCGCGGGAGGAUGCACCUGUCCAACUCUAUCGUGGACAUAGGUGAAGAGAAGGGAAGGCAAUCAUUCUCCAGUCUCCACGUAACCAGCCGUGUUUGGCAGGACGCGUUCCAGGUCAAAGUUUGCAUCCAAUUAAUGUAAUCUCAAUCUCCUCGAUGGAUAGAUCGGCCGAUAGCAUGUCGUCGUCAGUACUCGGUACGUACUUGCCGAUCGAUCUAUCUGAGUCAGGUCAGUGACUCAGUGAGUGAGAGUGACAAUUCACGAGAGCUCCGGUAGCUAGUUCAGCUGCGAUCGAUUUGCAUCCAGCUUGUGGGUAGCUAGCAUCGUUAUAUGUGUGCAGUAAAGCGUCGGCGUCAUUUGCAGAAAUGCAAUGCGCCAGCACCAUCUUAGCCGCUAGUCAUGGAUCGUGAGCAUGGUGGUACCAUCAUAGUUACGUGCUUGGGCUGGCUCUACGAUGGAGAUCCUUUGCGCGGUGUCCUUGAUCGUACAAGCUGUGCCGACUUGUGCCAGCACCCAGCAGUAGUCAAUUAGUUGGUGGAUGAUGUGCCUUCGAUGGCACCCGUGUCCAAAAUGCGAGGGUGUCUUGGGCUUUGUUGAUGAGAACCGCCUCAACGGGCAUCUAUGCUUCGACUGCUGGGCCUUGUUGGCCCAGUUACCUUUGAGAAUCCUUUGUCGCCUCUAAUGAAGAUCCGCACCGCAACAGAGAUAAUGGCAUAAUUCAUGCAUUUGUACUUUGUUCUAUGAUGAUGAUGUGUUAACAGUGGGUUUCACCUACCCACCGGUACAUCCGAUAGCAAUAUAAGCCGUUCACCCCCAAAUCCCAACUUUGACACUAUGCAAAAAGAAGAUUCCCAUCACAUCAAACUUGCAGUACAUGCAUGGAGUACUAAAUGUAGACGAAAUUAAAAAGUAAUUGCAUAGUUUUGUUGUACUUUGCGAGACGAAUCUUUUGAGCCUAAUUAGUCAAUGUUGGAUAAUAAUUCACAAAUACAAACGAAACGCUACAGUGUGCUACAGUGCUAGCACAGUAAUUUUGGUACUCCAAAUUUUGGCAACUAAACAAGGCCUAAGCAUUAGGUGCACCUCUGGUACGGCCCGCAACAAACUGCUACGGGGUCCUUCCUUUCCUUGGGCUCCCCGUCCCAUCACCACCACGGCGGCACGGCGCCCUGCUGUGCUCCGCCCUGUGAGAGGUAAAAUGAGAGAAAAACGUUGUUGGUGGCUAAUAAGCCGGCUGAAUAAGUUGAAGCGAACAGGCUCGUUAUUUUUGAUCCGCCAGCUGUUCAUUCCAAUAGCCUCUCCUCUGCACACCGCUGCAUGUCAGCAUGCCGGCCAAUCUCUCACUCGUAUAGAUAAGGUAAGGAUGAACUGAUCAAGCAAGGAGCUGCUGCUACCGUGCCGUAGUAGUAGCGUUUCGUCAACCUGUUGCUCAGGUGCGGUCCCCUCGUGUCCUAGGCGAUCGUCAACCAGUGGCUCAGGUGCGGCUUGACGAAUACGAUCCAUCCGACGCCAGCGCGUGGGACAACACUGCAGGACGCGUUACUGAUGGGGUGCGUCAGGCGCUGAUCAGCGACGACAAGCAGGAGUAGCGCGGGGAUUCUGCCUCCGAGAAUCGGAUCGUGCGGCCAUGCGGGUGCAGGGCCGGGGCUAGGGGCCGGAGACGUACGUACGUGCUCCAAGCGUCCGUGUGGUGACCGCCUCUGCCUGUGCCGGCGGUGGGGCUGUGGCCGGCCGGCUGCUUGCAGCAGGGGGCGCGCCGGCCACGACUCGCGAUCGGGACGACGUGCUCCGGUGUCCGUCCGCCCGGCGAGACGUUUCGUUCCGUAGUCGGACCCGGAGCAGCGCUUGUCACUCGUCGAAGUAGCUGCACAGUACAGCGCGGUGGCGGUGCACCGCCUACGCAUAUGCUUGCAGGGCCAUCUGCCGGGCGCCUGGGACUGGCCGUGGCAGGCCGCCACGCCACCACUUGAGGCGCGUUUGGCAGCUUGGACCGCCUCAGCCUGGCCCGCGAGCUAGGAUCGAACCAGAUUCAUGGUGUGCAGAGAUAUUGGUUAACAAAUCUGCAGCUCAUGAUUGGGCUCAGAUUGCGUUUGUUAGACUGUGGGUGGGCAUACCUUGCAUCCCGUCAAUGGUGGACUUACCACCGCUUGCUCGUGCCAUCGCUGCCGCGCUCGCCCUGCGCCGCGGCCGCCCGCACCCGCUGCUCCAUCUCCUCGAGUUUCCUGCGGGCUUCGGGCCGGAGCUACACGGUGAACGUCUCGCCGGCCACGGCGGUCGCGAGGUGCUCAAGGUCACGCACGGCGCAGCGCUGCACGGGGGACGCGGUCGUCGUCCAUCGCCCCCACCCUCCAUAGCACCGCCACGUCGACCUCGACCCCGUGCUUGCCUGCAGCUCUAUCCUGGAAAUCCUCUCGUUCACUCUAAGCAGGCAUCCCAAAUGCUUCCGCCUUCAUGGCAAUAGCCUCCGGUGUUCCUCUGAAGCAAUUUGAUUCGAUCUACGUGCGCGAGUGACAUGAGAAUUCAUGGUCAGCAUUCCAUUGCAGGCUUAGAAAAAAGACGAGCUCAAAUUCCAUUAUCCCAAGCAUCAAAAUGAAUUUCGGCAUCUUCAGGGAUGUCAAUUUGCUUUCUAGCUUUCACGGAUGCUUUCGCUAGUGGACAGGAGGGCCGCGGGUGCUAGCAAGGGAGGAGGGGGUCGCGGACGCUGGCUGCGGGGAUGGGGUCCUCUGCGCUCCGCUGCGGACCCUCAUGCGCCUCCGAGCGCCGUCGCGGGCCUCCGCUUGCCCCGCGCCUCCGAGCUCCGUCGCGGGCCUCGCGCCUCCGGCGCUGCCGCAGUCCUGCACGCCGGUCACCGCUAUAGCCUCCGCACGUUAAGUGAGGUAAAAACAAGCGACCGAUGGUCACCACAACUAGUGAUUCGAGCAUGCACCUAUCAAUUUUGACAUUCCACGUGGUACAAGCUGACUGCCUACUUUUAUAUCUGCUGGAUCUGGCCCGUAACUUUAUCCACGCUACCUAAUAAAGCCUUGUUUAGUUACCUCAAAAUCCCAACUUUAGCACUAUACAAAAAGAAGAUUUCCCAUCACAUCAAAUUUACGGUACAUGCAUGGAGUAUUGAAUGUAGACGGAAUCAAAAACGAAUUGCACAGUUUGGUUGUACUUUGCAAGACGAAUCUUUUAAGCCUAAUUAGUUAAUAUUUGAAUAAUAAUUUACAAAUAUAAAUACAGUAUGCUAAAGACGCAGUGAUUUUGGAAAUGGGGCAACAAGGCCAGAGUGUAUCAACUGGCCUGACCCGACCUCCGUCUGAGCUGCCAAACGGCCCUUGCUGUCCCUCCCUGUGCCAAGUGCCAACUGCCCAGAAACAUGGGGACGGUAGUCAACCCCGACCCCCCCCGGCCGCCGGUUCGGUAACCGGUAGCCUCUCAAAUCUGACGCGCAGAUGCGGUAGCCCUCACUGGUCCCCCGGCCCCUCCGACACAUCCUCCUUAAACUACUCCGUUCGUCAACUUGGAUCUGCCGCCGCGCGCGCAUCAGCCGAUCAGGAUCAGGUGUGCCCUAAAGUGCUUCUUCCUUUUUGCCGUCCCGUCGGCGCUCCACGGCAGUACAGUAACCGGCAAGCAACCAAGAGCAGCAACCGGCGUGCCCGGCAGCCCGGCCGGCCCAUGCCUCUGGAGCAGCACGUACGAGCUAGCGCGUCGUCGAUGAGCAAAUCAACGGAGAGAAUGACGGCUAGCCAAACGCUCUUUCACUUCUCCGCCUUACGCCCACCAGCCGAGAAGCUCCCCAGAUUCACCUCGAUUCCGGCCCCAUCCCUCCCUUCCUCCGGCGUCCUCGCCGGCGGUGAGGGGGAGGUGGGCCGGGCCCCCUGCUCUCGUAGACUUUAGUAUAGUUAGUUUAAGUUGCAGCUUAGUUUUGCUCGGAUGGGCACCAGCCGGCAGCUUCGUUCCUGCCGCCUCUCCCUUGUUGCCGUCGCCGUGGUCUUGCUCGUCGCCGGUGACCUCAACAACAAGGUGAGUAUAAAUAAAAUAAAUCCUCCCACCCUCUACUUCGUCCGAGCAGAUUCCCCCACCAUCAUCUCCAUUCGCUUCCGUUUGGAUUUGCUCGCCCCUUUCAUCGAUUCGGUCGAUUUCGCUACGGGUCCGGCUGCUUGCAGUCCUCCCCUCGGAUUCUUCCGUCGUCUCCCCCGCUUACCACCUCCAUCAACACCCUUGGUCUGCGGCAGCAGUUCUCCACCAAGUCCCUGCACGCCAACUGGGCCAACAUCCUCCUUGUCACCGCAGUUCGUUCUGCUAGCCGGCCACUCUGGGUUUGUUGGAAGCUGCCUCUCUACCCUCCGUCGACUGCUCCAACUACAUCUUUGGUUCGCCGGAGUUGUCUUUCAUCGAUGCUUCAAACCCGCCUUGGAUGGGCUGGACGACGGCGAGUUCGGUGCUAAUCUUUCGCCGGCGUCUCCUGUCGCUGAGGUUCAGUCGCUGUGGACCCCAGUCUGGUGGGGCCCAUCCUGGCCUGUCAGGUUGACGAGCCUCGGCCGUGGAAAUGUCGGUGGUGCUGGAUACGUAUGCCCACGUGUUGGCCAUGCAAGCUCAAGCUCUGGUUGCAGUCAACGUUUGAAUAUUUCUCGGCAACAUCUAUUUUUCGAAGUGCCGAUUAUAUUAAAAAAAAUAAAAGCAAACAACAAAGAAACAACAAAGAAACUUGGAUUGGGGCAUCAACUCGCACCGUACCACACCAACACACAACAUCUACUGGUUGGAUUGGAACAUCAACCGGAUCUCUCUCAACUCUGUCGGUUGGAUUGGGACAUCGACAUGAGCCUCAACGAAGGCUCCACCCGGUCGGAUUGGGACAUCGACACGAGCCACCACACCACCAGCACCACAGACGGGAAUUUUUUUUUAAUAAGGAAAGAGAAGGAAAGGAAAAGAAAGAAAGCAGUCCCUCAGGAGCCACCAUCACCGAAGCAAGCCGCCUCGUCAGGAGUGCUUGACAUCGUCUUCAAGAAGGUCGAGACAUCGAAGAUAUCGUCGAUGCCAGCCCAAAUUGGGUUGGGUUUUCACCCGCGUCGUCCGACAUGGAAGCCAAACAGGAGCCAAGGCUCGCGUAAGAGAUGCUCGACGUCGCCUUCAAAAAGGAUAUGACGCCAAUAGCGCCAUCGACACCAUCCCAAGGAGGGAUGGGUUUACACCCGCAUCGUCACCACGGUGUAAAGAAAUGGUCGGCGACUAGCCCCACCACCAUGGCGCUGCUGGUGAGCCUCCGCACGGUCGCAGUCAACGACACCACCACAACGACGCUGGGAUGCGCCCGAGCACACCGUUGUCGGCCACACCACCACGGCACCACUGACACACCGCUACACAGCACCUUGAAGCCCGGCCGCCGCAGGAGCAGGCCGCGACACGAAUGCGGGCGCCGCCGCAGCCAGUCCUCGCGCGCCGCCACGGCUGGGCACAUCCACUGCUGCCUGGAGGUAGCCGCCACGUGCCUACUGCAAGCACCGUAUCCAAGCCACGCCCGCACCUGCCGCCGACACCGUGUUAGCCGAGCCACGCCGCCCGAGCUGCAGGCACAGCACCGCCGGCGACCAGGCAAAGCUUUGCUAGCGUGGGAGGCCGCCGUAGCCGGGCCUACCGCCGCCAUCGCAAUCUCCGAUGCGUCAAGGCACCAGGGAAGCAGAUCCGGUGGCUGGAGGUGCGGAUCUGAUCGCGGCCGGCCGCACCUCCACCAUGGGCGCCACCAGGGAGAGUGCGAGGGGGAGGAAAGGAGAGGAGGAGGGAGGUGAAGCCCCGUUGUCACCUUCCUUGCGACCGCGCGGGCUUCUGACGGCCACUCGGAUGACGGCGAGGAGGGGAGGCGGCGCUGGAAGGGGCGACGGCGGCGGCCCGAGCCGUCCCAAGGAGGGCGACGCGGGCGUCUCGGUUGGAGAAAGUGUGUUACUUUUUCUCGGCAACAUCGCAACCAUGAAAACUUGAGAGGGGCACAGUUCAUAUCACUUCAUCGUGAUGUCCGUUGCUCGUCUUCAGCAGCCCAAAGCUCAACCGUGUCAGGCCAUCUUCGAUUUCAUCGUCGACGUCCUCGCAACAAGCCACCUCCCGGUCUUGAGGAUGAAGUUCAAGUACACUCCAUUGACUAUUUCAAAAAUAUUUUUAGCUCGGUGGAGAAGAAGAGCCUCGUCGACUUCCUCGGCCUCUCCGACGCAUACGCGGUCCCCUUCGGCAAGCUGUUCAUCGGCAUCGUCGGUGCUCUCGUUGAUUGUUCUCCCUUGGGACCUUGAUGUAACUCAGGGGCGUUUGAUUUCUCGAGCUAAAGUUUAGUCCGUGUCACAUCGAAUAUUUGGAGGCUAAUUUGAAGGACUAAAUAUGAGUUAAUUACAAAACUAAUUGCACAUAUGGAGGCUAAACAACGAGACAAAUCUAUUAAGUCUAAUUAAUCCAUCAUUAGCAAAUGGUUACUGUAGCACCACAUUGUCAAAUCAUGAACUAAUUAGGCUUAAUAGAUUCGUCUCGCGAAUUAGACUCCAUCUGUGCAAUUAGUUUUAUAAUUAGACUAUAUUUAAUACUCCUAAUUAGUAUCCAAACAUCCGAUGUGAUAGGUACUAAAGUUUAGGGAGGUGUAUCCAAACACCCCUAAAUUCAUUUGCAAGCACUGUUCACCUUCACCGUAGCAUCCGCUGCUGUCACAUUUGCAAGCACUGUAGUAGGUGAGGGCGUACACCACUGUUCCCGUGAUCCCAUCUCAUGAAGCCUAGCAUUCGCAUUCUGUUAGAGGGUCAGAUAGAGACUAAUUGACGAGACGAAUCUAUUAAAUCUAAUUAGUUCAUGAUUUGACAAUAUGUUGUUGCAGUAAAUAUGUGCUAAUGAUAUAUUAAUUAGGUUUAAUAGAUUCGUCUCGUGAAUUAGCUUCCAUCCAUGUAAUUAGUUUUAUAAUUAGAUCAUAUUUAAUCCUCAUUAAUUAAUGUUUGAAUAUUCGAUGUGAUAUAAAUUUUAGUCCGAAUUUUACUCCGACCUAAAGAACCCAACGCCUCUGGUCGAGCAAGUCAGAGCUAUAGUUACGUGCGUGAGUACACACUGCAGUCUUGAAUUCCUUAUACUGGCCCCACCGUCUCCCUCCAGCUCCGACCCAAUUCUCCUCCAUCCAUCGCUUGUCAACCUCUGCCGUCUGGUUGGUUGGUGGCUCUGACGACGCGCUUGACAAUCCGGCGCCAGAGCAGCGCGUGCGGCGUGAGGCCAAUCGACGCGACUACGGUAGCGUACUAGCGUUUGGUUCAGGAGCAGACCAGGACGGAGCCGUCCCGGCCCGCGUUUUUUUUAACGAGCCAGUAGUAGUUUUUUUUUUAACGAGCCAGCAGUGCUGCUGUUAUAUUAAAAUAGAAAAAAGCUCAACAGUGGAAACAAAGGAAAGUUCUGUGCACUCAUACCCCGAAUAACGGUCGGGAAAACGAAAAAAAGAGGGCUCGCUGUGGCUAAUUAAUGACGCCGGUCAGCAUAAAUGAAGGACUCUAAAUGUUUAGCUCCUGCCGCAGUUGAUGUAGCCACUUGAUGUUUUAUCUUGGCAACUAUGUGACUAUUUGUUUGUUCCUGACAUUGAAAAAUUCACGCAUUUCGUUCUGUCCAAAUCUCCCACAACACAAGAAUAAUUAGGCUUCGUAGCCCUUUUCGAUAGACCAUCUGUGCACCCCGCGUUUGCUUCAGGAGCGGAUAGAAUGAAGCGGCUCUCGGUAGGAAUAUUCCUAUAGAUUUUGGGACAAGUCAUCCCGAAGAAAGAGCUGGACGAGCUCAUCCCAUUCGGACGGUGUGAGCUCCGUCUCGUGGGAAGCAGGCACGGGCGCGUAGCUCGGGCUGGCUGCGACCAUUGCCGUCUGGUUGCACGGCUGGGAGGUAGAAGAAGGGGUGCGGAUGGCAGAUGGAGGUGCGGAUAGGGGUGACCUAUGCUGGACGAAGGGGCCGACGCUCCUCGUGCUUAUGCCGGCCCAAGCGCUGCUGCCAACGUGGAUCCAGACGAGGCAAGGGCAGCCGGAGCUAUUGCACACGGGGGCGUCGAGCAACUGCUGGCGGCUGGGCGCGAACCGGACGAAGCAUGGUUGGGGCCGCGCGAUCGGAGCAGCUGCAGGCAGCGGGGCGGUUGCUGCGUGUGUGCUGUAGGUGCAGGGGCGGUGGGAGGAAGAAGAUAAGGGAAGGAGCGGUUGUUUUAGUGACAGUUGGAACCCACACGACGGACAUUAACAGAGUCUGUUACCUCUUCAUCCUCAUUAAUUCAACCAAACACAAAAGUGAAACCGCUCCAUCUCUCUAACUAAAUACAGACAUGGUGUGGCUCCAUCCUAAAAUAGAGAUGUAAUCGUUCCAUCCUACAUCGCUCUCCAACCAAACACACCCUACGAGUCUACGGGCGUACUCCGUAUGUAUCGUGGGUGCGUCGAUGACCGACGACCAUCCGGCAUCCAGGUCCGCAAACCGGGAGCACGCAGCGAAUUUAUACAUGCGUCCAGGUCCAGGCAAGAAAAAAAGCAGGAAUAAUCCUGCUUUGAUUGGUCGUCAACUCGGUUUCUCUUUUACGACGUUGGUCCUCCAUUUCUGGCGUCAUGUAUCACCAAACGCAAGAUGGUUUGAGCGGAACAAACGGCUUUUUUUUACCAAUAAUAAUACUACUAUGCUAGAAUUUACUUUUGGGUUCAGCAGAUAAGCUUGUUUCGGCUAAAUUUUAACGAAAUCAUACCAUAUUAUUUACGAAAUGGGCACGUCCACUCUGACUCCAGAAGACCAGAGCACAAUUCCAUUUGGAUCUCAUGUGUCCUCGUAAAGAAAAAAAAAUUAAAGAGUCAAAACGCGCGCCAAGUGUCGCCCUGCCGUGCGUGCCGUACGUACGCGCACCAAACGUGCAUCGUCGAUCGUACCCGCAGGCCGCAGCAUCAUCAGCAAUCCGAUCCAUACCGGAUCGCUACGCGUCGAUCACGUCCGAUACCUAUCAUUCCGUCGAUCCCCGUUGGAACACGCACGGCCACGCCAUGGCCGGUUGCCAGCACGCAACACCCUGCAAUCAUGCCGCUCCGGCCGGCCGGAGUCCCGCCACCCGGCCGCGUACGCGGGAGGCUCCAAGCCUCCAACAAAUGGUGGCUGCCUGCCUGUUCCUGGGCCUGUUGCUUGCAGCGCAGGCCACGACCCGUCGCCGUCGCGGGCCGCCAUCUGGACGAGCUGAACGCGACAAACGGACAAGCUGCCGCAGGAGGAAAAAUAAAAUCGGGAGACCGCGAUCUGGAGAUGCUUCGCAGCAAAGGAAGACUCCCGUCGACGGACGGGAUCGGGCUUGCUCCUUACGACGCGCUGGCGUCCGCGUGACGCCACACCCCACGGAGACCGUGGGGCCCGCUACCACGCCGCGGGCCCACCGCAGGCAGGCGCGCCGGAUCCUUUGUGAGCGCCGCCGGCCCGCGCCAUACUACUACGGCGGCUCGAUGACAGUCGUAAUGGCGACGGUAACGAGAGGAAUCUUCUAGAGACCCCUUUUGUGGGAUUAUUGAUGCAUACAGCCGGGGGGCAAGCAAAACAUACGGUGGUGCACGCAUAUACUAUGGACUACUAAUUUCAGUUGCUUAUUAGACUGCUCGAAAUACCGCAAGGGGCUAGAAUUUUGUUUCAUGCCAUGCACAUGGUUUAGCUCUUAAAAAUAAAUAAUUGCUUGAUCAUGACCCUACAAUUUGUAGUUUUGAGUACUAAAACUUAUGGGGAAUGUUUGGUUCCAUUAGACCAUGGCAUUUGAGAAGAAAAAACAUCAAUAUCCUAUAAACAUAAAAAAUAAAAACUCAUUGAACAUCAACCCACCUCGCACAUAACGAAAAUCAUAUGACGAUAUGACGAAUUGGAUGAGCGACGUCUCAUCAACUGAUGACUAAUUUCAAGCAUCAUUCUAACCUUAGCAGUGCAGCAACAAGCUUCACUCUGGUAAGUUGUGGGUUGCAAGUCAAUAGCAUUCAAACACUAAAGGUUAUGAUUGUUGGAUUUAUUUUCUAGCGUGAUUGCUAGUUCAAUUUUCCACCUAUAUUGGUUGAAUAUGAGUGCAACCGACGCAAUUAAUGGUUGGCCUCAACGUAAUCGUUGUGAUGUUGGUCAUGGCAUGCAUUAAUUGUUAUGGCUACCAAAGGUACUGGUGAGAUAAGAUAUGCUUUCUAUUUUCUCGAGUUGUCAUCCAUCCGUAAUACGAUCAUGCAUGACAUAUAAUUUCUAGGCCAUGUUUAGUUACUCCCAACUCCCAACUUUGACACUAUGCAAAAAGAAGAUUCCCCAUCACAUCAAACUUGCGGUACAUGCAUGGAGUACUAAAUGUAGAUGAAAUUAAAAACUAAUUGCACAGUUUUGUUGUACUUUGCGAGACGAAUCUUUUGAGCCUAAUUAGUCAAUAUUUGGACAAUAAUUCACAAAUACAAACGAAACGCUACAGUGUGCUACAGUGCUGUAACAGUAAUUUAGCACCCCCAAAUUCGCCAAACUAAACACGGCCCUAGUUCUUUGUGAUGGCUUAUUGGUCAAAUCUUACAUCAUUUUCAUUAGAGAGCUGCAUAAUAAGUCAAGCCUACAAUGUUAAGGAUUCAUCAAUGGAUUCGUGCUAGGAGGGUGGUACCUCUAUCAUGUUGGACUCCAAAAUUCUAACAACUGAGACCAUCGUUGCCACCAACACAAAAUAGGAUUUAGACCUUAACACAAACAUGAAGUACCAUAUCUCACAUCGCUGCACAUCGACAAUUGAGGGCAGGAGGUUGUGUUGUGCCUUGGGUAGCGGGGAAUCAAAGCGGAGCGCGGCGCAGAGGAUCCAGAUCUCGGAAGGAAAGCAAUAUGAAAGCAAGCCGUUUCCGCGUUGAAACCCAACAGAUUUCCUCUUUCAAUCCCAGCCAAGCCAAAGCCAACCCUCUUGACUUCCAUUCCAUCCCACCCCCUGACCUGACCGCCCGCGCCACUUUGCCAUCCCUGCCCUCGCCUCGCGUCCAAAUCCAUUCCCAUCCCACCACCGCCCUCCGAUCCGCCAUGGAUCCCUUCCACCACCUCAACACCUCCUUCUCCAACCCCCUACCACCCGCUGCUCUCCCCCUCCCCGCCCCACCACCCCCACUUCCCUCCCCUCCCGCCGCCCCCGCCCCCGCCGCUUCCCCCGCCCGCCGACCCGGCGCCGCAGCUGCAGCCCUCCGCAAGCCUCGAGCGGGAGCGCCUGCCGCAGUGGUCCCACGCCGAGACGGCCGCGUUCCUCGCCGUCCGCGCCGAGCUCGACCACUCCUUCCUCACCACCAAGCGCAACAAGGCGCUCUGGGAGGCCGUCUCCGCGCGCCUCCAGGGGCAGGGCUUCGCCCGCACCCCCGACCAGUGCAAGUCCAAGUGGAAGAACCUCGUCACCAGGUUCAAGGGCACCGAGGCCGCCGCCGCCGCCGCGCACCCGCCGCCGGACGCCGAUCCCGCGUCCGCCUCCGCCGCCGCGGCGCAGCAGGCCAGGCAGUUCCCGUUCCACGACGAGAUGAGGAGGAUCUUCGACGCUAGGGUCGAGCGGGCGCAAGCAUUGGAGAGGAAGAGGGCGAAGGGCAAAGACGUGCGGACGGAGGACGACGAAGGCGGCGGCGAGGGCGAGGACGACGACGAUGAGGAGGAGGAGCUCGAGGCGGAGGUGGGCGAGGAUGAGGCCGGCAGCAGGGUGGCCGCGGAGGCGAGGGGCGGCGGCGGGGCGAAGAAGCGCAGGCGGAAGCAGGCCGCGUCGGCGGCGCGGGAUAGGUCUGCAGAUCAGGGCAAGGUGGAGGCCAUGCUGCGGGAGUUCAUGCGGCGCCAGGUGGAGAUGGAAGAGCGCUGGAUGGAGGCGGCCGAGGCGCGGGAGGCCGAGCGCCGCGCUCGCGAGGAGGAGUGGCGCAACGCCAUGGUCGCGCUCGGCGAGGAGCGCCUCGCGCUCGUGCGCCGCUGGCGCGAGCGCGAGGACGCCUGGCGCGCGCGCGCCGAGGAGCGGGAGGAGCGCCGGCACCAGCUCGUCGCCGCACUGCUCGCCAAGCUCGGUGGCGAUUCCUCGUGAUCAAUCCUCGUCCAUCCGCACACUCACCGGUACGGAUCAAACCCACGCACUGCUACUCCCUGGUUAUCAUCUCAUCAGCUAGCAUUCAAACAGCGCUACCUCAACGCAUUGAUUGAGUGCUAAUGGAUCUAGUAAAUCUUCUGAUGGAGAACACUUGUUGGAUUCUUGCUCAGGAGCAACGAUGUUUCACCGCGAAGCGUGCAUCGGCCGGCUAGCUACCUUUAGAUGAUCACUAGUGCUCGAUCAAUGAUCUUUGUUGGUUAGGGUUUUUCUAGACAUCAGCUAGUGAGAGCAGGCCAGGAAAGAUGGCUGUACAUGUUCAGAUGGUGAAAAAGGGUUUAUUGCAGCUCAUGCAACCUUUGUUUAGCCAGCAGCCAUUAGCUAGCAGCUCUAGCGCUCUAGUCUCAUCAGUCUGGUCUCGUCAGCUUCAGGAGCUGGCUGAGCUUUCUGGCUUUCAACAAGUGCAUGGCAUGGCUGUAUCACAUCCCUUUGCAUGAUCAAUCGAUGUGCCUUCUCUCCCUGGUUCUUCAUAGAUCUCCCUCUCUCGUCUUUUCAAGAUGAUAUGUAGGAUCUCCCACCAUGGUCGGUUUAUGUGCUUUCCGUUCAGAAAUGGGUGCUUCAGCGUGAUGAUAUAUCUCUGCAGGACCUGUGUAGCUUUUGCGCGACAUGGUGUAGCUGCUAGAUCUUUCUUACUUUCUCUCUCUUUUCAGUUGCAUGGGUAAAGAUAUAUAUCACUAGCGAAAAGAGAUUUGCAUCUGAAAAGUUGUAGGACUAGCUAGUAUGAUCAGGAAAGAGAGGGCAUGGUGGAUACUGGAAGCACAUGGUUGCUGAUAGGGGUGCAGGCAGGCAGGCAGCUGCUUUGCUUUGCUUAUCCUACAGGGAGGGUAUUGAUGCCCUGGAUUCCUGUAUGGAUACAUUUGCAAAAAAUCAGAGGUGUCAGGCAGAAGCCAUUAGAUAGAACAGCACUGGAGGAUGGCUAGAUUGUGUAGUGCUUGUUUGCCUAAACAAUUUGGAGAUUGUUAAUUACAAGAUGAGCUCCCUAAUGAUGUGUGGACCGCGUGUCAUAGCAUGCAUCAUGGCUACCUGUAGACAAUGGGCGCAUGCCUGCGUGUGGUAUGAACCCAUAUGAGCAUGCACAGUGUGUACGUAGGAAAGUAGAGUAUGAAACCGCGUUGCAUAUGUGUGUACAUCUCAUAUCCAGCGUUCUCCCAAAAGUUGCUGGCCCUAUAUAUUAUGAGGCUUAGCUAGUUGGUCAAAUAAUAUAAUGUCAGGUUGUUUUUUAUAAUGUUUGCCUAUAUAUACACGGGUGAUGCCAUUUACUGGAGCUCUAUGUGUUUUUAUAAGGAAGAGAUAUCUAGAACUAACAUAUCAAGCAGAAUUGAUAUGGUUUGUGUGAAACCUUUGAUUGAAAGCCAAAAGAAAUCAAUUGCAUAUCAGACUCCGGGGGUUCAGUAUGUGCUAGCUGUAAACUUUAGUGCACACGCUACCUGCUAACAUUCCCCGAUAGUGCGUGUGGUCAUAACAACCGUUUGUUGGGGAAGUUGGUAGUAAACUAGUAACUGGCAUGACCAUGCAUACUGAAAAACAGAUUUGAGGAAAACAAACGUACAGUAGUCCUUAUAACAUUUCGUUUUCAGUUAUCUCUAUUUUUGUCCAGCCGCUCAGAUAUAUAAUGAAGUGACUAUUUGCAUCCCUCUUUUAUUGCAAGUUGUGUGAUCAUCGAUUUCACAGUAGUUUGUAUAUGAAUUAUUUGUGUAAGAAUAUAUCACCAUGACGAGCAAAGUGACAUAAGCAUAUAAUCUGUCCGUGACCUAAUAGUAUAUGUGUAAGCAAAUUGCCUACUAGUUGGUACUUGGUACGACAUGCUUUCUUGACAUGUCUUAUUCACUGUUCACUUUUGAUGAGCGUGCCCUUGAGUGUUCGCAAUGACAACAUUCAAUCAAAGGAUAUGUUGCUUGUUAGUAUUCCUUAUGGUUGUGGCCACAAUAUAACGCAAAUAAAUGCUUUUUUUAGUGAAAAUGUUAACAUUAAAAUAACACUAACUUUAUAUGUCAACAUUUUUUUCUACUUCAACUUUGAUAUUAUUUCCAGCCAAACUAGUAUCCUCUAGUUUACUCCCAACACUAAACAACAGAUAUAUUGUUUUUAGUAUGAAUUCAGCAAAUAUGUAUCCAUGCUUUUACAUGCAUCUGCUAUUGCUUUUGUGGCGUGAGGAAUUCAUGAUGUCAGUCUGAUUUCUGAUCACAUACUGGACAGAUUCUGCUGUAGUAAAUUAGACUAGCCACCUUAUUUCAGAUAGCACUAGUUCCAAAAGAACACUAGUGGCAAUUUCAUGGCAAUAUCAAAGAACAACCUUGCUACUUGGAGCAGUUGGAAACCUGUAAAAUAAGGCAUAUGUGUUGUACUGAAUGGAAAGAAAUUGACCAUAUAUACACCGAAUCUAAACAUCGAUGAUCCAGUAAGCAGUGAAUAUUUUAUUUGCAUGCAUGACUCACCGGUCAAUAUUCUGCCCUAGCUAGUGUGAAGUCAAGGGUAGCAUGUUUAGCCAAAACCUAGAGAGAGACCUCUUGACGCGCAAACGAUAUAAAAAUUCUGCAAUUCAAGCACCAAUUUGUCGAUCUUCGAGACUGACGUGACACGAGUAGACAAGGACUGAUUGUCCGUUCAGCCCAAUACCCAUAUAUAAGAUGAAGCAAGGACACAGGGAAUGACGCUGAUCGAACGAUGAGAUAUCUUUGGAGGGGCCAAUUGCACUGAUGAUGAAGCUGCAUUAUUGAGAGGAUGUACAUGAUUUGACUACUAACUGACGGAUGAUGCAUGCUAUGUACUGGCAGAGAGCGACUGAUAUGUUUGAGGCUUGCAUUUGAUUCGUUUACAUGCAUGCUUUUCACGAUUAUUGAUCCAUAAUUCGAAUUAUGAAGGGAAUUUCAUUUGGUGUAUGUCUAGCAAUAGCAACCAACUAGCUUGUUAUGUUGGUAUAGCUUUUCCAUUAACAGUUUGUAUGGGCCGUCUUAGACUACAACCAUUGAACAACUUCACAGUUUCGCUAUUUUUUCCUGUUCUCAUAGUAACCUAGCGAGCAUGAAUACGCAAUAUUUUUGUUUGACAUAGAUGAACGGUUUUCAUGGUUAAGAGAGGAUAUGCGCCUAAUUUUUCAUUGCUCUUCAGUUGAUUUUUAUGUACAGAUCUAAGACCGAAUCUGUAGAUCAACCAUGCACUAUUCCGCAUUUUUCAACCUUAC